GGAUCCAGACUUUGAUCCUGGCUCAGGAUGAACGCUAGCGGCAGGCUUAACACAUGCAAGUCGAGGGGCAGCGCGGGGCAGCAAUGUUCUGGCGGCGACCGGCGGAAGGGUGCGUAACGCGUGAGCGACAUGCCCGUUGCCCGGGGACAACCGGUGGAAACGCCGACUAAUCCCCGAUGGGACGGAGGCCCUCAUGGGUCUCCGUUGAAAGUUACGGCGGCGACGGAUUGGCUCGCGUCCGAUUAGCUUGUUGGCGGGGUAACGGCCCACCAAGGCUACGAUCGGUAGGGGUUCUGAGAGGAAGGUCCCCCACAAUGGAACUGAGACACGGUCCAUACUCCUACGGGAGGCAGCAGUGAGGAAUAUUGGUCAAUGGGCGGAAGCCUGAACCAGCCAUGCCGCGUGCGGGAAGGAGGCCCUAUGGGCUGUGAACCGCUUUUGCCUGGGGGCAAUAAGGGCGUCGUGCACGUCCGAUGAGAGUACCAGGCGAAUAAGCAUCGGCUAACUCCGUGCCAGCAGCCGCGGUAAUACGGGGGAUGCGAGCGUUAUCCGGAUUCAUUGGGUUUAAAGGGUGCGUAGGCUGUGCGUCAAGUCAGGGGUGAAAUUCCGGGGCUCAACUCCGGGGCUGCCCUUGAUACUGUCGCGCUGGAGUGCGGAUGCCGCCGGAGGAAUGAGUGGUGUAGCGGUGAAAUGCUUAGAUAUCACUCAGAACACCGAUUGCGAAGGCAUCUGGCGAAUCCGUAACUGACGCUGAGGCACGAAAGCGUGGGGAUAGAACAGGAUUAGAUACCCUGGUAUUCCACGCCGUAAACGAUGAUGGCUAACCGCCGGCGACACACUGUCGGUGGCCAAGCGAAAGCGAUAAGCCAUCCACCUGGGGAGUACGUCGGCAACGAUGCAA
Molecule: ribosomal RNA, 901 nt
Filed under: uncultured Bacillota bacterium
Lineage: Bacteria; Bacillati; Bacillota
Description: bacterial SSU rRNA
Rfam family: Bacterial small subunit ribosomal RNA
Source: RNAcentral